AACGAACGCUGGCGGCAGGCCUAACACAUGCAAGUCGAGCGAGGACUUCGGUCCUAGCGGCGGACGGGUGAGUAACGCGUGGGAACGUGCCCUUUGCUUCGGAAUAGCCCUGGGAAACUGGGAGUAAUACCGGAUGAGCCCUUUGGGGGAAAGAUUUAUCGGCGAAGGAUCGGUCCGCGUUGGAUUAGGUAGUUGGUGGGGUAAUGGCCUACCAAGCCGACGAUCCAUAGCUGGUUUGAGAGGAUGAUCAGCCACACUGGGACUGAGACACGGCCCAGACUCCUACGGGAGGCAGCAGUGGGGAAUCUUAGACAAUGGGGGAAACCCUGAUCUAGCCAUGCCGCGUGAGCGAUGAAGGCCUUAGGGUUGUAAAGCUCUUUCAGCUGGGAAGAUAAUGACGGUACCAGCAGAAGAAGCCCCGGCUAACUCCGUG
RNAcentral lists this ribosomal RNA (433 nucleotides) under uncultured bacterium. RNAcentral's name for it is "partial 16S ribosomal RNA". It matches the Rfam family "Bacterial small subunit ribosomal RNA", at positions 29 to 507 of the family's 1533-position model. The record is from RNAcentral.